RNAcentral lists this ribosomal RNA (421 nucleotides) under Ruminococcus sp. B05. RNAcentral's name for it is "bacterial SSU rRNA". It matches the Rfam family "Bacterial small subunit ribosomal RNA", at positions 1 to 402 of the family's 1533-position model. RNAcentral also lists the same sequence under 1 other name. Lineage: Bacteria; Bacillati; Bacillota; Clostridia; Eubacteriales; Oscillospiraceae. The record is from RNAcentral.
UUUAACGAGAGUUUGAUCCUGGCUCAGGAUGAACGCUGGCGGCGUGCUUAACACAUGCAAGUCGAGCGAAGCACUUUACUUAGAUUUCUUCGGGAUGAAGAGUUUUGUGACUGAGCGGCGGACGGGUGAGUAACGCGUGGGUAACCUGCCUCAUACAGGGGGAUAACAGUUAGAAAUGACUGCUAAUACCGCAUAAGACCACAGCACCGCAUGGUGCAGGGGUAAAAACUCCGGUGGUAUGAGAUGGACCCGCGUCUGAUUAGCUGGUUGGUGGGGUAACGGCCUACCAAGGCAACGAUCAGUAGCCGGCCUGAGAGGGCGACCGGCCACAUUGGGACUGAGACACGGCCCAAACUCCUACGGGAGGCAGCAGUGGGGAAUAUUGCACAAUGGGGGAAACCCUGAUGCAGCGACGCCGCGU